AGAGUUUGAUCCUGGCUCAGAUUGAACGCUGGCGGCGUGCCUAACACAUGCAAGUCGAGCGGUAACAGGUGUAGCAAUACAUGCUGACGAGCGGCGAACGGGUGAGUAAUGCUUCGGAAUCUGCCCAGUAGUGGGGAAUAACCAGCCGAAAGGUUGGCUAAUACCGCAUACGUCCUACGGGAGAAAGCGGGGGACCGCAA
This 200-nucleotide ribosomal RNA is filed under the name uncultured bacterium. RNAcentral describes it as "partial 16S ribosomal RNA". It matches the Rfam family "Bacterial small subunit ribosomal RNA", at positions 8 to 210 of the family's 1533-position model. The record is from RNAcentral.